This 2709-nucleotide ribosomal RNA is filed under the name Sargassum vulgare. RNAcentral describes it as "bacterial LSU rRNA". It matches the Rfam family "Bacterial large subunit ribosomal RNA". The record is from RNAcentral. Lineage: Eukaryota; Phaeophyceae; Fucales; Sargassaceae.
GGAACUGAAACAUCUAAGUACCCGUAGGAAUAGACAUCAACCGAGAUUCCGUUAGUAGCGGCGAGCGAAAGCGGAGGAGCCCAAACCAUACUGGCUUCGGCUGGAAUGGGGUUGUAGGACUCAUAUAAGGAAACAAAGAGAUAGUAGAAUGGCACUGGAAAGGCCAACCACAGGGGGUGAAAGUCCCGUAUACGAAAUCAAUUUGGUUCCGAUGAGUAUCCUGAGUACUGCGGGACACGAGAAAUCCUGUAGGAAUCUGGGAGGCCCACCUCCCAAGGCUAAAUACUCUUGACGACCGAUAGUGAACAAGUACCGUGAGGGAAAGGUGAAAAGAACCCCGGGAGGGGAGUGAAAAGAACAUGAAACCGUAAGCUUACAAGCAGUAGAAGGACGACUUAUAACGUCUGCCUGCGUGCCUGUUGAAGAAUGAGCCGGCGACUUGUAUUUGGUGGCAUGGUUAAGGUAAGAAAUACCGGAGCCAUAGUGAAAGCGAGUCUGAAUAGGGCGUUAUGUCACCAAUUACGGACCCGAACCCGGAUGAUCUAACCAUGACCAGGAUGAAGCUUCGGUAAUACUAAGUGGAGGUCCGAACUGACUGAUGUUGAAAAAUCAGCAGAUGAGUUGUGGUUAGGGGUGAAAUGCCAAUCGAAUUCGGAGCUAGCUGGUUCUCCCCGAAAUGUGUUUAGGCGCAGCGGUUAGUGUUAUAGCUUAGGGGUAAAGCACUGUUUCGGUGCGGGCUGGUAAUUCGGUACCAAAUCGACGCAAACUCUGAAUACUAAGUGUAUAGCUAACCAGUAAGACUAUGGGGGAUAAGCUCCAUUGUCAAGAGGGAAACAGCCCAGAUCACCAGCUAAGGCCCCUAAAUAAUUGCUAAGUGAUAAAGGAGGUGGGAAGACUUAGACAACCAGGAGGUUUGCUUAGAAGCAGCAAUCCUUUAAAGAGUGCGUAAUAGCUCACUGGUCGAGUAAUCCUGCGCCAAAAAUGAAUGGGACUAAGUAAUUUGCCGAAGCUGUGAGAUAUUAAAAAAAUAUAUAUUAUAUAUCGGUAGGGGAGCGUUCUGUUAUAGAUUGAAGCGUUAGCGUAAGCGGGCGUGGACGAAACAGAAGUGAGAAUGUCGGCUUGAGUAGCGAAAACAUAGGUGAGAAUCCAAUGCCCUGAAAACCUAAGGUUUCCUCCGGAAGGCUCGUCCACGGGGGGUAAGUCAGGACCUAAGGCGAGGCUGAAAAGCGUAGUCGAUGGACAAUAGGUUUUAUUCCUAUACUAUUCUUUAUUGGCAACGAGGGACGAAGAAAGCUAAACUAGCCAACUAAUGGUUAUUGGUUUAAAUGUACAAGGUGUUGAGAAGUAGAGAAAAUACUUUGAGCUAAGUCAUGAAUACGGAAUAACGUGCGCGUUAUAUGAAGUAGUUGAUGUUAUGCUUCCAAGAAAAGCUUGCACUGUCAUAAAUAAAGAAUACCUGUACCCUAAACCGACACAGGUAGGUUGGUAGAGUAUACCAAAGGGCGCGAGAUAACUCUCUCUAAGGAACUCGGCAAAAUAGCCCUGUAACUUCGGGAAAAGGGGUACCUUUUAGGUUGCAAUAACAAGGUCCAAGCGACUGUUUACCAAAAACACAGGUCUCCGCUAAGUUGUAAAACAACGUAUGGGGGCUGACGCCUGCCCAGUGCCGGAAGGUUAAAGAAGUUGGUUAGUUUAUGACGACGCUAAUAACUGAAGCCCCGGUGAACGGCGGCCGUAACAAUAACGGUCCUAAGGUAGCGAAAUUCCUUGUCGGGUAAGUUCCGACCUGCACGAAUGGCGUAACGACUUCCCCGCUGUCUCCAACAUAGACUCAGUGAAAUUGAAUUCCCCGUGAAGAUGCGGGGUUCCUGCGGUUAGACGGAAAGACCCCGUGCACCUUUACUAUAUGCAACUAUUGUAAUUCAAAGAUUUUAGUGUAGAAUAGGUGGGAGCUUGUGAUUUAAUUUCUACGGAGAUUAUUUAGGCGUUAGUGAAAUACCACCCAAAAAUUUGUUGGUUUACUAACUUACGGACAGUGGUUGCUGGGUAGUUUGACUGGGGCGGUCGCCUCCUAAAAGGUAACGGAGGCGUACAAAGGUUUCCUCAGAUCGGUCAGAAAUCGAUCGAAGAGUGUAAAGGCAAAAGGAAGCUUGACUGUGAGACUUACAAGUCGAACAGAGACGAAAGUCGGUCUUAGUGAUCUGGCGAUAUUGAGUGGAAAAGUCGUCACUCAACGGAUAAAAGUUACUCUAGGGAUAACAGGCUGAUCUCCCCCAAGAGUUCACAUCGACGGGGAGGUUUGGCACCUCGAUGUCGGCUCAUCGCAUCCUGGGGCGGUAGUACGUCCCAAGGGUUGGGCUGUUCGCCCAUGAAAGCGGUACGUGAGCUGGGUUCAGAACGUCGUGAGACAGUUCGGUCCAUAUCCGGUGUAGGCGUUAGAGUAUUGAGAGGAUUCUUCUUUAGUACGAGAGGACCGAGAAGAACAUGCCGCUGGUGUACCAGUUAUCAUACCAAUGGUAAACGCUGGGUAGCCACGCAUGGAAAGGAUAACCGCUGAAAGCAUCUAAGUGGGAAGCUCACCUCAAGAUGAGUACUCUCAUUGUGAAAACAAGUAAGAUCACGGCAAGACUAGCCGUUUAAAUAGGCAUCAAGUAGAAGUGUAGUAAUAUAUUAAGCUGAGAUGUACUAAUAGAUCGAGGACUUGAACUA